UGGGGAAUAUUGCACAAUGGGGGAAACCCUGAUGCAGCAACGCCGCGUGAAGGAAGAAGGUUUUCGGAUCGUAAACUUCUAUCAACAGGGACGAAACAAAUGACGGUACCUGAAUAAGAAGCCCCGGCUAACUACGUGCCAGCAGCCGCGGUAAUACGUAGGGGGCAAGCGUUAUCCGGAAUUACUGGGUGUAAAGGGAGCGUAGGCGGCACGUCAAGCCAGAUGUGAAAGCCCGGGGCUUAACCCCGAGGAUUGCAUUUGGAACUGGCGAGCUAGAGUACAGGAGAGGAAAGCGGAAUUCCUAGUGUAGCGGUGAAAUGCGUAGAUAUUAGGAAGAACACCAGUGGCGAAGGCGGCUUUCUGGACUGAAACUGACGCUGAGGCUCGAAAGCGUGGGGAGCAAACAGG
This 408-nucleotide ribosomal RNA is filed under the name uncultured bacterium. RNAcentral describes it as "bacterial SSU rRNA". It matches the Rfam family "Bacterial small subunit ribosomal RNA", at positions 355 to 776 of the family's 1533-position model. The record is from RNAcentral.